RNAcentral lists this long non-coding RNA (1261 nucleotides) under Gossypium barbadense (sea-island cotton). RNAcentral's name for it is "long non-coding RNA (GBAR_LNC022032)". Lineage: Eukaryota; Viridiplantae; Streptophyta; Magnoliopsida; Malvales; Malvaceae. The record is from RNAcentral.
GCAGCAAAACGAACCUGAGGAGAAAACCGGUUAAGAAACCUCCAAUAUGCGCAAAGUUGUCGAUGUGAGGAAGAAUCCUCACUGCUAAGUUAAUGACAAUGAUGACCGUGAGUGUGAUCAGAGCUGCAGCCUACAAAUUAAGGUAAAAAAUCAAUAUCCUCUAUUACUUUUCAAGCCACAUGAAAAAAGAAAUCACAUAUAACUCUGGUUUCCCUUCAUUGUAUUUCUAAGUAGAUAGGAACCCGAGGCAACUAAUAUUACCUUAUUUGUAUAGAUAGUCCAAUUAGUCAGCAGCUCUGACAACAUUGCUCCAAGAAGGCCAAAUAAAGCACCAGAGGCACCAACAGAAAUGCUACGUUGAAUGAAAAGAGACGAUAGUACGCUACCACUGCAAAAGGGAACAGAUAACGUACUGAAUCCAAAUUGUUGUUCAAGGCGAAUUCCAAUGAAGAUCAAGCUCAACAUGUUUGCAAGAAGAUGAAUAACACCAGCGUGCAGCCAGAUGCAAGUGAUAAGCCUCCACGUUUGAUUGCCAUGCACUACCUUGUCCCAUUUUAAGGCUCCCAAUUUUUCCAAUCUGAAGGAGGAGGAGAAAGAACAACAUAAAAUUACACAACUCGCGAUUAUCAACGACGACAUGGCAUAAUAAAAAAAAGGAUUUGCAUUAGACCAUACAAAAACAAAAAUAAAGCUACAAAUCAACUAACUUCAUUAACCAGUCCUUGAUUUCCAGACAAAGUUCAUUACCCAAAUUAACAAAGUAACUAACUUAAGUUCCUAUAAAACCAUUAAUCCUUAAAUUAACAAAGCAACUAACUUCAUUACCCAGUCCAUGAUUUCCAGACAUGCCAUUAUUUAACAACGCUCAAAUUUGACUCAAUUGAUAGCUCGACCCAGUUCGAGUCUUUCUUCAAGUAGUUUGCAAGCACUUUUACACCCCUACUAUAGACAAAGCAAACCAUGACAUUUCAUAUUGAGAAUUCCUAUUGCUGCUAAAUGAACAAGGAAGAACAAAUCUAAUAAUAACCUUAAAUAAUAUCAAUCAUAUCAGACACAAAUUUCCAAUAGAAUCAAAAUAAAUCACAGAUUGAUAUAUCCUUUAGCAUGAUCCAAGGAUAAUCCUAUAGAAGAUCAAUUGGGAACUGCAGUUGAAUCAUCAAAUAAGAACUUCCUACAUGAACAACUUCUAAAAGAUACCGUCAGUCCAUAUCUAAAACUUGCAAUCAAUUUUUUUCCCCUUCUUUAGAAUUGAAAGUUGCAA